Long non-coding RNA from Centropristis striata (black sea bass), 4558 nucleotides. RefSeq lists it as uncharacterized. The transcript has 6 exons. Lineage: Eukaryota; Metazoa; Chordata; Actinopteri; Perciformes; Serranidae. The record is from RefSeq and is a predicted model, not a curated record.
AAUACAAAAAAGCAUAAAAAGUCACGCAUGUAAAUGACAAUAUAUUGAGCCCAGAAAAAAACUAUCAUGUCCAUUUUUGUAUAUCGAAUGAUAAGUUUAUAUAGUAAUUAUCAUGACAGGCCUAAAUGUAUGCCGUCCACAUCAGUCCAAUAUGGGACUAAAAGUGUACAAAAUAUGUAAUGAAGGCUCUUAUUUUCCUCACAUCUCUCACUUCCUUUUCUCAUCACUCCCUUGUUUACUUGAUUGAGUUCACCUGAGUGCUCCCAAUCUAAGUCUUGCACCCAUUCAGGCUUUCCACCUUCACAUGGGGCAGCAGUAUUGGUUGCUCCGGUGGAAACAGCUCCAUCCACAGACUCAACAAGGUGAACAGGUUUACCUUGGAUAGCCUGGGGCCAUGACCUGGCUCACCUUGCAGUCUGCAGUCAGUCUGGGUGCUGCUGUCCCUCGUAUCCCGACCCGGCCUGGACUGGCCCGGAUCGGCUCGGUUCCUUAUCUCGCUGCCUUCCAUUUAGUCCGUCAGCAGGCCAAAUAAUAUCUGGUACUGGCCUCCAAUAAGACAACAGCUACUAGCAAGAUGAGAAGAGUUCAACCGGUAUUAUAAUGAUCUGGUAAACAGUGACGUUUCCGGCAAGUACUUUCAAAAUAAAAGCGUCAAGGGCGAACCAAAUUUCCAUUUCCAUAAGAAAUAAAUAAAAGUUGCACUUGGAACAAAAAAAUACAACAACAGAACAAUUAAAAUACAUGUAUAUUUUUCUCUGAAAUUACCCAUCUAUAUGACUUCUUGGGAAAACUCAAUCAUUUGACACUAAACGUUUUAGUCCAGUAGGUGGCGGUGAAGCACCCAUACAUUGGGUUGCCAACUGCAAAAAAGAAAAUCAAAGAAGAAAAGGAGUGAUGUGAUUGGCUGAUUCUGACCGGUUUGGGUCGACACGUUUGACUUGGAGCGACAUAAUAACAGAUGUUCAGUGAGCCACCGCCACCGCACCAACAUGGACUUUUUCAUGGUCCUUCGAGGCGGAUUGAACAUCUAUGCUGGGAAACAGAUCCAUUUUCGUUGCACCUGGAGAUGAGGGAGAGUAAAGCGGGAUGCCACAGGGAGAUAACGCCUCUAUGAUUUCUACAAGACGACCAAACUGAACUUUAUGGCAAGCCCCCAAACAAUUGAGAGUAUGUGCAGAACCUGUUCCAGAAACUUCAGAGACUGAUUUAUUAAGACAGGAAGUAUCAUAGUUAAAUGGUAUGUUUAAAGAUUUAAUGGGAAGAAUUGAACAGAGUAAAAUGUACAGUCCCAUGAAGCUCCCCAAACACAAUAUGCAUGUAACAGACUACUGAGUGACACAGAGGUUCAGGCUCAGAAGGCCUGAACCUGCUCUGAACAUGGAGAAAUGUCCCAGUCAGUCCAAACACUUUCCCCUCUUGUCCACAGGUCCUCUGCCUUGUAGAAUGUGAGCAUUAAAGACCUGCUUCAGCUCCUCAUCUAAUGCAUGGACCAGAGCUUUGACACCAGGAACCCGCAACCUAAUUUCCCUCAUGUGCCACCUAACCCAGCAUUGCCUCCUAUGCACCUCCAAGUUCUGCCUUACCCCCAAAUUCCAUCCCAUGUUUCCCCCGCUGGCUUCCCAGGGAGUCAGCACAGCUUCACAUUUAAACAACAUUUUAAAAAAAAAGCUUUCUGUAACGAAUGUGAUCCAGCCUGAAGGUUCUGGAGCAGCGAUGCAUCCUGCUGCAGAGUCCACUUGGUCAGAAGAGAGGUUAUAAAUCCAAAGAGUAGCGCUCCGUUCUUGAAGGCUCCACAGCGACUCGCUCUGCUGGUAAAGUCCUUGAACAUCACUCCAUCCCUUCUGCCCAAACCCCCAAAUUCCUUCCCAUGUGUCCUCUCACCAAAUGUCUCCCCCACUGGCUUCCCCGGGAGUUAACACAGCUCCAAUAGUAUAUGUGCAUUAGUGUCAGUUAUAACUUAACAUCUCUUUCAAGUCCCUGACAAAGAUUCCAGGCUCUUGGUCCCCCAUUUUAACUUUUCCAGAAGUAAAAUAAGACAUGUUAGAACAUUUAAGCACUGGCCAAAAAAACAAAAAGACAAAUUCAAGUAUACAUACAGCAUAUAAAGAAUACGAUGACAGAAAAAGGCAACAAGACUUUGUCGAGUAACUUCACAGGAACUGGCCAAAUUGCCUUCGCCAAGUCCACCAAUAAAGCAGCAGUCCAUCUUGUGAAUGAUGCUGCUGAUGUGCCCACAUGCGCUUUAGUAAAUAGACAUUUAAAAAAAGCUUUUUGUCAGGAAUGUGAUCCGGCCUGAAGGUUCUGGAGCAGCGAUGCACAACCACGUCCGCUUGGUCAGAAGAGAGUUUAUAAAUCCGAAGAGUAUCGCUCAGUUCUUGAACGCUCCGCAGCGACUCGCUCUGCUGAUGAAGUCCUUGAGCAUCACUCCAUCCACCUGCCAGAAGGCUCGAGUCUGAGUCACCUCAGUCAGAUGGUUCACACAAAACCUGAAACAAAACACCUCCAGGUCCUAGAAAGAGACAAAACAAAGAUCGGAUUAGAAUAUUCAGCAUAGUUCAGUGUUGGAGCAGUUUCUGGAAUAGAUAUGCAAAUCUAUUGUUCAUGUAGUUCACAGUGUGUACACUUGGUGUCACUGUAGUCUGGAGGAAAAAUGGCAACUCCAAUUUAUGCAGAAUAUCAGUUGGUUUAUAUUAAGACUUUGCUGGGUUUUUUUUAUUAGGGUAAUUUUUUAUCUAAUAGAUAUCACCAUGAAACUUCCCCAGUUUGUUAUUUACAUUGAAACAAUGUUUUCUUUGCAUUAAAGUUUUCUGAAAUUGUAUGUUUAGUUAUGCAAAUUAUAUGUUAACUAAUUAAAUAUGAGCUAAUUUGCAUAUGACAUAAAUCUGAACAUUGGAUAAAGCAAAUUUCAAAGUUAUUUUAUUUUGUUGAUAUAUCAGAUUCAAAGUUAUUUACGGAACAGAAUUGGGUUAUCUGCUUUUAUCAUUUCACAAAUUAGAAAAUACUGUAAAAAGCCAUAAAAAGUCCAUUUUCGUCAUGUUUUUAGAAACAAUGUUCUAUAAAUCAGGUUAUGAAUGAUAUAUAGACAAACCUCUCUGUAAAAACCUUCAGAAUAGUUAAGAAUAAAGCUGGAAAGUUUGGUCCCUGGCCUCCUUUUUGCAGAAGUCGCCCUCUGGCAAAGCAAGCAGAGUAUCCCUGCAAUACGCUUUAACCAUGUCAUCACAGUGUUGUACCUCUGCGUCGUAUUGUAUGGCAGCAGACAGCAGGGUGAAGGCGUUUUCCACAGUGAUCCCUCUCUUGAUGAUCUGCUGACACAGCCGUUUUAGGCGGUUCUCACAGUAAGAGGUGGCCAGGUCCAACAGGCCUGCAGCAGAAACAGGUGAAGGUAUAAAUAGAGCCGAUUAGAAACCGUACGAAUGAGAAAACGUAGUAUUUGACAGCUGCAUGUUAGCUAACCAAUGGCGUCCUCAGGUUGAAGGUCAACAGUGUCGGUGUAGAGAAACUGCAGGAAGGAUCUGUAGACGUGGUAAGAGAACUGGCCGAUCUCUAUCACCUCCUGCUGAUCCUCCGUCCACUGGGAGCGGAACAUGGACCGGAAGUGCUCACACCUACUCCAAACAAAAACACUGUAUUGGUAUUGUGUGUGUGUGUGUGUGUGUAAAAAGAAAUGCAAUUAAUAAUUUGGCAUGAUAACUUUCAGUUCUUGCACACGCACCUGAUCUUCAGCACAGCUUUGUGAACGUGGAUGUAUUUUCCGUCUACGCUGAAUUUAAGAUCAGACGUUUCUGGACUGUCAAACUCUUUCCUCAGAGCCUCCGCAACAGUGAGGAAGUCAUCAUGCUCUGGGGAAAAAAACAGAAUACAAUAGAAGUCAAAGGUCUGGCGGAACAAAUUCUGAACUGCUUGUAGGCAAUUUAUGGAUCUUCUGUUAAGACAGGUGAAGAGUGAGUUAAGGAAAUAAAUGCAUGGAUAACCAUCUCUAAGUGAAGUCUGUACAAAGAGCCAAGGCUUUCCAUAAUAUGUGGGACAACAUCCUCUGAGGUAGAACUAAGAAGUAAGUAGUUCAAAUCUUUUAUAGAGUAUUUGCAAUUUAAAAGAGAGUUUUUAGAUAUUUCAAGGCUGUGCAAUUGGGUGUCGUCUGCGUAACAGUGGUAAGAAAUGUCAUUGAAAUUUUUAUUAUCUGACCAAGCGGAGCCAAUACAAGGCAAACAGUACAGGGCCUAGGACAGAGCCCUGCAGGACGCCACAGCACCGUGACUCAGAUGACGAACUUACAGGUCAGACAGACAUGAGCCUCCACAUGACGGAGGGUGUGGCGAAGCAGGCGAAGACGUCGUCAGUGCUGGUGAAGUGUGUAAGGUGUGGCAUGACGAUAGGCUGACCCCGACACUGACCCCACAUAUACACCUGCAGGAUGAACAUGUGAGGGCCAUGGAGUGAUGCGAGCCACAUGCCACUUCUUUCACUUUCUUGUUCUGUGGGUUGGCGGUGACCAGCAGGGGGGCCAGGCCCUGGUUGGUGGUCCCGUUCCCCAGCUGACUGUAGCCAUUGUGUCCCCAGG